AACCUUGAUCUUAUUAAAACAAAAAAGAAGAUAUUAACUUCAUAGUCUCAACGAAGUGUGGUCAGGAAUAUCAUAUCUAGAUGAUAUUUUCAUAUCAAAGGAGCCAAUACAUCCAGAUGAUUUCAGUACUAUGGACAUGUGAGAGAGUAACAGGUUUCAGAUGGCUUGAUAAUCAUAUCUUCUGAACUGUGAAUUUGGGUUGUUAUGUCAAGAUUCAAAGAUACAUGAAAUUUUGGAUAAACAAUAAGCUCUAGAUGUUUGGAGAAAUAUUUUUUUUCCAUGGAACGGGAAGAAUAGGCAGUUCUUGGAGCAUCUUUGGGAGCAUGAUAGCGAUUAGCCAAUUAAGUUGUAUAAAAAUCCUGUUGUACAAAAUCUUUGAUUAGCCAAGUAAGUUGUAUGGUGAUCCUGCUGUACAUUAUCCAUCUAUUCCAUUCUAUGGCUUUUGAUAGUCAGAAAGAUUCAAGUAAAAUUAAGUUUGCUAGUUUUAAUUGUGAGUAGUUAGAAAAGGGACCAAUGAGACAGUAAUAAUGUCCAUCAACUAGGCCUUUGAUGUUUAAGAUGAACUACUUCUUAGGUACUUUUGAGGAACAAAUUGCAACUUUUGUGUUGUUACUUCUCUAGAAGUUACAUGCUACAAAUAUCUGAAAUUUAUUAUACAUGUAUAAUUUUCACAUGUAAAAGCUGUGCAAGGACCACCAUCCAAGUAACUAGAGGGUUUGCUAUCUCAGAGUAUUUUCCCUUACGUCAAGGAUUUGAUAUCCAAGGAAAGCUCCUGGUUCACAUGUCUCACCUUUGUCUCCUAUAUUAUAUAUAUAUAUAUAUAUAUGUAUGUAUGUAUGUAGAGCAGGAAAAAUAAAAAAAAAACUAUGCAAGGCAUCUGCACAUUUUGCAGCUGUGUGUGUGUGUGUGUGUGUGGAGCAGGAAAAAUAAAAAAAACUAUGCAAGGCAUCUGCACAUUUUGCAGCUUGGAUCUUUUUAUGGUAUCUUGUUUGCUGUGCAUCAGUUGACAUACUUCAGUUUUAAGCAGCAAAAUUUAUGACCAAUGAUGAUGCUCUGUUAAUGGUGACCUUUCGGCUUUAGUUUUAAUGUUUUAUUAGUCAAACUAAAUAUUUAAAAAUAUCUGCCAUUCCACAUGUACUCAAAUAUGAAUGGUGCAUUUUCAAUUCCAAGUGAAAUUUGUCAGUUUCCUUGUUGUUGAGACUAUCUCAAGGUUUAAAACACUGCUUCUUCACUAAAUUAGCUUAAACUCUGACAAAUGCUCUAGAUCUUUGUAACUGCCUGUUGCUUUGGUUAUUUUCAUUCUGAGCUCCUCCUUUUCCAAAGCCCUUUUUGAGGAACACAAACCAUUCCUACAGUUUGCUGAUUUUUUAAAUUCUAUUAUGAUCAUCUAAGGAGUGCCUUUGGUUCAGUCUAUUUUUGUAUAGGUGGCACCUUAUAAAAAAAGGUUGGAUGUAUGAUAAUUGCACCUUAUAAAAAGUGAAGAGUAGAAGUCUAUUUUUUUUGGUUAAUUUUUUUUGGCACCUUAUAUUGUCUAAUUUGACUUCUAUGAGAUCCUAGAAGAUUUAUGAUAUGAUGUGUAUCACACACUGCAUGAUAAUUUAACAGGAAAAUACUAAAGUUUGGUUUUUCAACUGACCCAGCUGCUGUCGAUAUUCCAACUUAGCUUAUGGAAGGUUUGCUUUUGGCAGUAAUAUACAUUAAUGGCUGCUACUUUUUGAUAUAUCUAAGCUUCUUGUUGCAUAUCUUUGGUGAGUAAGGGUAUGCUCAGAUCAAAUCUGUAAAAAGCUCAUGCUAUCUCGAAGAAGAAUAGUGACAAUAAAUAUGCUGAUGGUUACAUCAUGAAUCUAUAGAUAAUAAGCCAUUGGACAGACUGUUAAGAGGCAUUUAUGCAGGCUUUAAAAAGAUAGAUACAAAAGGAAUUAAUUGGGAGAAAAUAAAUAUGAUAAAAAAAUUAGUGGAACCUUAGACCAUCUAGUCAAGGAAACACCUACUUGGUUAGUUCAAUAAUUUGCAUUACAUUGUCCUUUCUCUUGGUCAUUCACAUCUCCUUUAAAUGAUGAUAGCUGGACUAUCCUUAAUAAUGUUUUUUUUAUAUCUUGUUCUCUCUUAUCUAUUGUGUUUUUUUUUUUUUGCUUUGAUAAUAACUUCAAGCAAUCUCUAUUUUUUUAAUUUCAUUGUUUCAUUUUUCUAAUGAUUUUGUUUCUCUCUAGAUUUUCUAUAUAUAUUUUUAAUAUGCUAAUUCUUUUGCCAAGUAGUCCCCAAUGCUUAAUGCAAGAUUGAAGUCAUUAAAUUCUAGAACUUAAAGAGGACUAAGUGCUACGAACCUUGAUAUAUGAUAAUAGCCUGAAUGCCUCGCCUCGUAAUAGGAGGGUCGAGUGAGGCGUUUGAAGGGGGCGCUACUUGGGCGUGCGCUUGGGCCUCGGUGUUGGGCAACUCGGGCGCCCACUCAAUCAAAUCGAGUUCAGGUUCAACCAAUUUCACAUAGUUGGCUCAAUAUCGAACCAACUAAUUACAACACUUACCUCCCCGGCAUGCCUGACCUAGUGUAAGGAAUCAUAAACCCUAUCGCGAGUCGCUUAGACCCUAUGUCGUCGGAUUGUGAGAGUUCUUCACCUUGUGUUGCCAGACUGCAAGCUACCUCCUCUCUACGUUGCUGGACAACAAGCCUCCUCCGCCCUACGUCGUCGAAUCGUGAGCUUCCUUCACCCUACGUCGAUAGAUCGAAAGUUUCCUCUACUUUUCACCAUUCGGUUGCAAGCCUCCUUUGCCUAACACCGUUAGAUCGCAAGCCUCUUCCUCCCUAUGUCAUCGGACCGCGAGCCUCCUUUGCCCUACGCUGUUAGACCAUGAGCCUCCUUCGCCCUAUGUCGUAGGAUCGCGAACCUCCUCCCCAUACAUCGUCGUCUGUAGCUUCCUUUCUUUGUUGUGUGAGCUUACGACAUUGACCAACUUUGUUUGACUAUUAGUUGUGAUUAACACAAUGAUUUAAAAAACGCUAGGCUCUAAAUGAUGCCAAGGUUCCAAAACGCCCAAGGCGCUCGCACGAGCAAAACGAGGUGCUAAAAUAUAAAAAAUAUAUAAUAUAAUUAAUAAAUAUAAUUAUUUAAAUAAAAAUAUGAUAUAAAAUUAAGAAAAUCUUAAGUAUAAAGUCACAAUAUCACAUUAACAAAAGUCUCAAAAUUUAAAACAAUAAAUAAAUUUAGUAGUAUUAAAAUUAAAAUAAUAUAUUAUUAAUAUAAUAAAUAAAAAAAUACUGUUAAUAGUAUACUGUUAGUGUUAACAGUAUACUGAGUCGAGUGUGAGAAGAGAAGAGACCGAGGCUGCUGACUGAGAGCUAGCGAUUUCAAUAGGCGCUCGCUUAGGCGCUCGGGCGAGGCGAGGCCCGAGCGCUUUGCUUCAAAGAGGCGCCGCUUAGGCGCUCGCCCGAGCCCAGGCGUCGGGCGCUUCGGGUGAGUGCCCGGGUUAAACCAGGCGAUCGAACUAGUGUUUUACGUUUCGUUUAGUCUCCGGUGCUUCAGUUGGUUCGAUUGAACCAACUAAAGCAUCGAUAUCAGCCUCCUAACAUCCCUCUCGCGACUUCCCCAACCCUAAUCCUGCUCGCGAUUCUGCCGCUGACAUUUCCUCUCUACUACCGCUGCCUCUCUUUGCUAUCGUUGCCUGUCUUCGUUGUCGCUGCUCUCUACUGCAACUGCCACUGCUUGUCGCUGCCGUCGUUGCUCACUAUCGCUGCUCGUCGUCGCUGUUGCUGUUGUCACUAUCGCCGCUCCCGCUCCUGCUCCUACUACCAUUGCUGCUUCUCUCAGUCAGCAGCCUCAGUCUUACUCUUACACCGCUGCUGCUGCUCGCUGCUACCGUUAUCGUUGUCGUUGCCACUAUUGCUGCUGUCGCUGCUUGCCACUAUCGUUGCUCCCGCUCCCAUUGCUGCUACUGUUACUCUUACUCCCUCUACUCACAUCGACUCGAUAGUAUACUAUGAACGGUAUAUUAACAGUAUAUUGUUAACUGUAUAUUAGUAACAAUAUUUUUUUAUUUAUUAGAUUAAUAAUAUAUUAUUUUGAUUUUAAUACUGCUAAUUUUUAUUUAUUUGAAAUUAUUGUUAUUGUUUUGAAAUUUGAGUUUUUUUGUUAAUGUGAUAUUAUGAUUGUAUAAGAUUUUUUUAAAAAUUUAAUAUCAUAUUUUUAUUUAAAUAAUUAUAUUAAUUAAUUAAUUUAUAUAUUUUUAUAUUUUAAUGUCUUGUUUCGUUCGAGCGAGCGCCUUAGGCGUUUUUGCACCUUGGCGCCUUUUGGUGCCUAAUGCUUUUUAAAUCACUGCUGAGAGCAAUGAUGAGCAGUAAUAGUGGCAACGACGAGUAGCGACAUUGACAACGACAGUGGUAGCGGAGAGCGGUGAUAGCGGAGAGUAGCGACAAAGGUAGCGGUAGCGGCAGUUGAGAGAGGCAGAGCGGAGAGCAGCGACAAUGGAGAGUAGUGAUAGCGAUAGCGACAGUGGUAGCAGAAAGAAAAUGUCGGUGGCGGGAGUCGGGUUAGGGUCGGGGAAGUCGUGAGGGGCAGCGGAGAGAGGUUGAUAUCGGUGCUUUAGUUGGUUUGAUUGAACCAACUAAUGUAAUUGCAACCAAACCAGAGCUAACAUGCUGGUUCUGUUGCCUGAUUUAACCCGGGCGCUCUCUCGAAAUGCUUGGCGUUUGGGCUCGGGCAAGCGCCUAGGCGGCCCCUCUUUAAACAAGAUGCUUUUGGAGCAGUUUAAUUCUAGCAUAGGUCUUCAUAAACAUGUUUAGCAUAUUUCUAUUUAGCUGCAUAUUAUUUUAAUUAUAAUAUUUGGGAGCACCUCAUUUCGCUCGGGCAAGUGCUCGAUGCCUUGGGCAUUUUGGGACUUUGGCGUCUUUUGAUGCCUAGUGCUUUUAAAAUCACUGUUAUGGACAAUGACCUAUUCAAAUUGUGGAACAGUGCCAUGUCAUCAUGACAUAUGUGAAGUGCUGUGGUUAUUGGUCAACUAAUAGAUAGUUAUUUGAAGUUUGUCCUAAACAAAUAACAAAUAUUCUCUUCCACUUUUAUUCUUUUGCACCAAGAAGUUAAAGAGAGAUUAAUGAGGUUGUAGUAUCAUUCUUAAUUUUGCCUUAUAGAAUGUAUUUGUGUUAGAUAUGGUAUUUGUUCAAGUCCAUCAUUGCAUUUUGAGUUGAAAAAAGAAGACAGGCCUCCCCUGGGAAUUAUAGUGAGAAAUUGGAAUCUAUUUGGUGAAUUAUGUCAUAGAAUUCCCACUUUCCAGCUUGGUGCAUUUGACUUGUAUUUCUUACAUCUAUGAUCUAUCUACUAUGGUUGUUUGAUAUUUAACUGAUACUUAAGUGUUAAAAGUUACUGAUUAUGUAGAUGCAUUUAUAUAAAUUUAAUAUUUUGGUUUAAAUGUAAGAUUUUUAUGUUACGAUAAACUUUCUCCUAUCAUAUAGUAUACAAUAAGUUCAGUGAAUUUGUGUAUGUUGGCCUAUAUAUUUUUGCAUGCACAUUACCUUUGUAAAGCUUCUAUAUUUAAUUGUUUGUAUUAUUUAGUUGUAUGUAAUAUGAGUUUUUCCCAUGUUUAAUACUCUACAAUAAGCAUAUAUUUACAAAGUAUGCCAUAUAUAACGAUGUUAUCUUAUCUACGUAUAGCACUCUACCAUCAGACAGUUCUUGGAAGUCAUAACAGUAUUGGGCAAACUGAGGCCUUAUUUUCUACAAAUUCUUUGAUCAAACGCCCUAGACUUGAAACCGGAAGCAAUCUUCCAAUCUAUCCUCAGCGACCAGGAGAAAAGGAUUGUGCUUACUAUAUGAUGACAAGAACCUGUAAAUAUGGUGAUACCUGCAAGUUCGAUCAUCCUCUUUGGGUUCCUGAGGGUGGAAUACCGGAUUGGAAAGAGGUGACUUUUGGUUAAUCUUAUUCGUACUUUUGCAGGCAAUAACUACAUAUACGAUCUUUUUGUAUGUAGAUAUGUCCUACAUCCUAUUUAAUCUAUGUUCUUCUGUGGAUAUGUGUAUAACAAUUUGGUUACUUAUACUAUAUUGUCCUUAUGUGGAUAUGUGUAGUCGUGUUGAACAGUUUGGUUACUUAUACUAUAUUGUCAUUUAUCUACUUAUUUGAUAUUUUAAAUAUUUUAAUACAAGAUAAGUAUAAUUCUCUAUUUUAAUAAACUAGAACUCAUGUAAUUUGUACAAAAAUUCUGCCUUCUGUACCAGGAAAGUAUUAACUUCUUUGGAUAUUUAUUGGUGCUAUAAGGUGAGUAUUUUCAUACCCAUUAAUAAAGUCCUUUUGAUAGGACAAAUAGUUGACUCAGCUUCUUCAGAAUGUAUCUUUCCUCGGAAGUCUUGGUUCUCACCAAGAGAUUUGUUUGAUCUGGAAAUUAGUUAAUAUAUAUUUAUCACGAAUUUCAUCUAAAUUUUGUUUCAUUGAUGAUGAAAAGUAACGAGGAAUGCAUAUUUUAAGGUGUUAUGCCCUUUGUAAAACCAGCAGAACACAAAAACUAGAUAUAUAUGAUUUUUAUCUGUACUUGUGCUGAUGUCAGAUCAUUUUUCUUUUAAAAACUCAUUUUAAGGUGAAGCUUUCCUCUUUGUUAGCCAUUAUUCUCACUGUGUGCAUCAAAAUUCAAAUAGUAGCCGUGAGAUUAAGUCAAAGUUUGAUGCUUGUUACUGGGGUUAUUUCUGUGCUUCUUGUGAAGUCCACCACUUGAUCCAUGAUACAUGAUUACUAACAAGUAAAUCUAGAUGAUUUUUACCUUGUAGUGCUUAUCUAAAGAGAAGUAUACUUAAUUUUUGUUGUUUGUUUAUGUGUGAAGGUAAUUUUUUACGACAAAACAUGUUCAUCAAAUUGUGAUUAAGAGUAUGGUUAAUGGGUAUAUCUUUCUGUGAACAUUUAUCUUGGUCAUGUGCAUAUACAAUUUGAACACUUUUUUUAACAUUUAUUUUUUCUCACAAAAUGGUUGUUUUUGGGAACUUAUCAUAUCUGCACUGAGUUAGUCUUUCUUUGAACCACUGAGAUCCAUAGCUAUUAUAUAUUCACAUUGUUUGCUUGAGGUUCACAUCCUGUAUUUUCUUCCCCUAAGAGUUGGACCUGUAUCAGUGGAUUAAUUUCUUGCCAUUGUUACAUCAUGACAUGCCAAGAAUUUAAAAGGCAUGAUGCGAUAUGCUGUUUUUGCUAUACAUCAGUUGGGGUUGCCUACAAUAAUUUACUAUGAAAUAUAUAUUAAAUGUUAAUAUUUUUGAAGUAGUUGAUGGCAAUAUAUAUCUGGUCUCUGUUUCUUUGAAAUGAUGUUGUUUCUAUGGAAGUUUCAACCAAUGGAACUGAGAUAUUGAAUUGUGGAUCAGAAUGUUGUUUAAUUUUGUAUCAUAGAUGCACUGCUUUUGAAAUAGACCAUUAUUAGUUACUAGUUUGCGUUAAUUAAGUUGUUUUAACAUCAAAUGGAUCUCUGUAAUUGAUCAAACAAAAUUUCUACUCUUCUUCCCAUCUUAACCAAUACUGAUGCCAUAUGAUCUACCUCAAAUUUUCUAAUGGUUUUGGUUUUUCACAGUAAGCCAGUUCAUCAAUGUUGUUAGGUGCUUGGAAAAUUAAUUACUUUAUAACUUUUUAAUUAUUUAAUCAUGAGCUUACAAUUCCUGUAAAAUGAAUAGAAAUUUCUUUGUGGGUAUACCGUGGCAUCUAUUGACUGUGCAAGUGAUAUUACAUUAUUUAUGAAAUUCUUUUUUUAUCUGAUUAUGCUUUUCUGCAGAUUCCACUUAUCCCCACUAGUGAAUCUCUUCCAGAGAGACCAGGAGAACCUGAUUGUCCUGUUAGUAGUUCCUGAUGUAUUCAUGAUAUUUGUUUGCUUUGCUUGUUACUGGAAGCCCUUUUGUCAUGUAUUUUCUUUUUCUUUAAUUUGCAGUACUACAUGAAGACACAGAAAUGUAAGUUUGGAAUUCGUUGUAAGUUCAACCAUCCAAAGGAAAAUGGAAAUGCUUCUGCAGGUGAACUAGGUGCAGAGGUAAGUGAUGCCAUCCACUUUAUUUACUUAUAUAUUUGAUCUGUGUUUAUGUGUUGUAUGAGCGGGCUUGUCACCCUCCUUUCCGUCAAUGAUUUCUGUGCGAAGCUGCAGGUUUCUGAAACUGCUGAUAUCUCAAUCUUACCUGAGAGGCCAUCUGAGCCAGUUUGCACUGUAAUUUUUUCUUUGCACAUUGCAUUAUUUCCUUUGAUUAUUUAUUGUCAUAUUUAAUCUAAAUUAAUUUAUGCCACAGUUCUACAUGAAAACUGGAAAAUGCAGUUUUGGCACAAGCUGCAAGUUUCAUCAUCCAAAGGAUCUUCAAAUACUAUCAAACAUACAAGAUAGUGUGAGGCAUGGACAGCUAGAACCACAAGGGCAGAAUAGCAAGACAUAUGUUCCCUUCACCCCUGCAUUAAUGCAUAAUUCAAAAGGAUUGCCCAUUCGUCCGGUAAAAUUGAAGUAUCAUAUUUAUUUAGUAAUUUAUGGUUAUAUUUAAUAGUAACAGUUAGUGAUUACAAUAGGCGCUCGGGCGAGGCGAGGCCCGAGCGUCUCGCUUCAUUUCCAGGCGACGCGCUUCAAAGAGGCGUCGCUUGGGCGCUCGCCCGAGCCUAGGCGCGGGGCGCUUCGGGCGAGCGCCUGGGUUAAACCAGGUGACCGAACCAGAUUUUUAGGUCUGGUUGGUCUCCGGUGCUUUAGUUGGUUCAAUCGAACCAACUAAAUCACCGAUAUUAGGCUCCCUCUCGUAAUUUUCCCGACUUCCCCAACCCUAACACACGCGAUUUUGUUAUCGAGAUUUCUUCUUCGCUGUCGUUGCUCUUUGCUGCCACUGCUACUAUCGCUGCUCGCUGUUACUGACGCUACUCACCGUUGCCAUAAUCGUUGCUCGCCGAUUGCUUGUUGCUACCACAAUCGUUGCUCGCCGUUGCUGUCAUCGUUUGCCGCUGCUGUCGCCACUCCCACUGUCGCUCGUCGCUCCCACUCUCGUCAUCGCUCGUCACUCUCGUUGUCGUCGUCGCUCGCCGCUCCCACUCGCUCUAGCUACGGUUGUCUGCUACCGCUGCCGUUGCCUCAGCCUCGGUCUUCUCACACUCUUCUCACUAUACUGUUAACUAUAUAUUAACAGUAUACUAAUAAUAGUAUUUUUAUUUAUUAGAUUAAUAAUAUAUUAUUUUGAUUUUAAUACUAUUAAAUUUUAUUUAUUUAGUAAUAUUUUUAUUUAAAAAAUAAAAAUACUAUUAUGAUUUAUUUAUUUAUUAUGAUUUUGUACCUGAUUUUUUUAAUUUAAUAGUAUUUUUUUAUUUAAAUAAUUAUAUUUAUUAAUUAUAUUAUAUAUUUUUAUAUUUUAGCGCCUCGCUUCGCUCGGGCGAGCGCCUAGCGCCUCAAGCGUUUUUGGACUUUGGCGUCUUUUGACGCCUGGUGCUUUUUAAAUCACUGGUAACAGUAUAACUUGAAAAAGCAGAACUUUGAGUUUCUCCAUGGCAUCUAUUAUUAUAUAGCUUUUUAGAUCUUUGUCCUGUGCACUGGGACUGCCCAUUUUUAUGAUAAGUAGCCAUUUAUUUCGAGUGCUUUUCUACUAGCAAGUGGAAUUGGAUUCUUAAUCUAUGCAUUAAUUUUAAAUCCCUGUGCAUUUAAUUUUGCCUCAUAUUGUAGGGUGAACCAGAUUGCCCAUUUUACCUCAAAACUGGAAGGUACAGGACUUCUGUAGAACUAUAAUUAUUCGUCUCACUUUCUGGUUUUCUUUUGAAGCCUGAUUAUGCCUUUAUGAUUUAUUUGCCACUCAGCUGCAAAUAUGGUUCUACUUGUCGCUACACUCAUCCUGAAAGAAUCAGUAUGCUAUUUUCACACUUAUCAUAUACAUUUUGCAUUGUAAUUGACAAUUAUACUGAUUUAUUGAAGCCAAAAAAAUACUAUAGCAACUUCUCUCUCUCUCUCUCUCUUUUCUCUUUUCUUAAACAGUUAAUCCAUCAUUGGUGGCUGGUCUGGGACAAAGUUUUCUGCCUUCUGCAGCAGCCAAUCUUUCAUUUGGUGGCCUAAAUCCUGCUGCUAAUUUUCUUCAGAAUAUUGAUCUGCGGUCAGCCCAAGCAUCGGUAAGAUGAAAAAUCCCAGUGUUUGAUGAUGCAUCCAUUGGUGUCUUACGAGGAACCUUAUUUGUGUUAGAUAUGUUGAUUCCUAAUUUUUCUAAUGCAGAUCAGUGUCAUCCCAACAAUCUAUCCUCAAAGGCCUGGGGAAUUGGAAUGUGAUGUAUGUUAUUGUUUAUAUCCUUUGGGAUCACAUAAUUACCCAUUAAUAUGACAUUCAAAUUAGUUACUGCUUUGGCAAUAAUGCUGGAUGUAGCUACUAUUUCCAUAGGUAGCAUAUUGUCAGUCCUCAACUUUUUUGUCCCUAAGCUCUAUGGUACUUUUUUUAUUUGGAUAAUUUUUUCAGUGAAAUAAUGGCAUUUCAAUUGAUUUGAUUCUUUUUCCUAGAUAAUAUGUUUGUUUGUCGUGUCUAUAUCAUAUUUAGCUUCAGACCCUAGGAUUUAUUGUAAUUUAAUCAUACGUAUAUCCUAUGUUUAUGAUGGCAUAAGUAAUCAAUAAUCAGAUGUUGCUUAAGAUUAUCUAAUUAUGUCUUUCCUGGUUAGACAUUAUAUUUUAUAGUGAGGAUCUCUAAGUGUUGCCAUUUCCUAUCCAAUUCUCUCUUGCAUGGUUAUUUAAUCAUCUUUAUGAUUGUAGUCUUCUCAUAGGAUCUUUUCAUGUGCUUUUGAGGAUGCAGUUCUAUAUGAAGACUGGACAGUGCAAAUUUGGAGAAAGAUGCAAGUUUCACCACCCUAUUGACCGGUCAGCACCAACUUCAGUAUUGAAGCAGACUCCUCAGCAAACAGUAAAGCUUACUCUUGCUGGGUUGCCACGAAGAGAGGUAUUAUGUUGGAACCACUGAUUUAUGUUUGCUUUAUUAAGUUGAUUGGUUCAUAUCUGUUGCAGCAAAAUUUAGUUUCCUCAGUGAUUAGUCAAAUACUUGUUCAUUUAGAAAAAAUUGUUACACAUUUAAUAUGGAAUUUCCAUUGGUUUUUGCCGUUAUCUAAUAUGCCAUUCGGCUUUUGAUUUAUUAAGGUUAUGGUUGAUUUUUGGGUGAAGACUUGGUUGGCUUAAUCCAUGCAAAGUUACUUGGUCAAUGCACUUGCUUACUUUUUGCUAGGUUUAGCCAUUUUUGCAAGAACAAUGUGUUGUAGAUUAAUUCUUUCCUACCUGAUGUUGGGGAUUGACAUGGUCUUGGUACAUAGGACAUUCGACACAUGGUCAGGCACAUGGUAUUCCAAUAUACUGGUUGGCAUAGGUUCAGCUUGUCUGGACUAGUUGGAGCAAACAAAACUCAAGUAUUUUUUUUAAUGAUUUCUACCUUAUUAAAGCCAAAAAUUAUAAAAUAUAGGUGAAAUCGACUAUAAAACAAUAAAUGAUUAAUCAAGUUAUGUUUCAGAUAUAGAAUACAAACUGUAUUAAAGAAAACAUGUAUACGAUAGUUGUAAACAUGAGUUUUUUGGUCUAAAAUUUGAUAUCAUUUUUUUAUAUUACAACUAUUACUACUACCAAAUUAAUCAUCUUGAGUCAACGAGAGGUGGUUCAGAAUCCUUGAUGUGACUUCAUUGUACAUAAGUAUGUAGGUCUGAUGGACCUGUGCACAGAAUUGUGCUCAUGACAUCAGAUACUGGUAGAUAAUGUGCACUGAUGUAAUAAUAUAGUGACAAUCGAGUUAUCAUCAUCAUUAACAUCUUAUGUGGAAGGAGGUAUCUUAAGCAAGGAUGAAUGUGGUAAAUACAACUCUGCAAGAUGCGGUAUACCAGAGCUGCAACUGUCAUCACUAUACUGGAACUGUCAUAUGAUGCAUCCAACAUCAAGAAAAACUAUUGUGCAUGAGAUCUAUGCUAGUAAGAAGGUUGUGAAUACGAGGAAUUCCUAUCGGACUUGACAUCAUUAUGAAAUUUGUUUGUCUCUUCUCGACAUGGUCAUCAACUGAUUUUCCUUUUUCUUUAUCCUUUCGUGUGGGAUUCACUUGUGUUAUGAUUCACAUCUUGGAUGACAUGACUGAAAUAUUAUUUCGUAUAGAUCUAAACUUGAUUUUUGUGGAUCUAGGUUCCAAAUUCCUCAAAGAAAACAAGGCACCAUGAACUCUUCCUUCAAUUCAUGAAAUUACUUCACAGGUCUAGCCUAGAUUCACAAAGUUCAAGGCUUGAUCCUAGUAGAUCUAGUCCCAUGUUGGAUGAGGAAAACACCCUGUGCCCCAAACUAAAUUCAUGAAAUUACUUCUUACAGUCAAUCCUAAACUAAUUGUGUAGGCCUUGGUCCAUAUGCCGGUUUAGCUCAAUAAGUAGUGGGCAGUACAUAUUGGUCCACCUGAUUUAAUUCCUUGAUUUUAACCUUCUCUUGUUAGGUUAGAUCUUUGGUUAAAUAAUCUUGCUUAAGUUUACUUAGUUAAGUCAGUUUAGCCCCACAUCAUUUUUUGACCCAGCUUUGUGCUGAGCUAAGUGCAACUGAAAGUGUAUGAAUGAGAGCAGCGAUGUUCUCAACACUGGAAUUUCUAUGUCGGUUGUCAGUUAAUGUUGUAUUUGAAUACAAGAAAAUUUGUGAUUACACUUAAGAUUCCAACAAAAUAGUUGCAUUCUUGCCUUACUUACAAACAUGUGUCAGUAAACUUCAUGUUAUUUUAUUUGUUGGAUUUGGUUACACUUGCAUGUCUUUGUUGAAAUUCCCACAAGAUAUACAUCACAUACUCCUAGUACCAAAAUUUCAUGCUAAUGUUCUUACAUAGAGUGUUAUUGUACUUCCAUCUGUCUUGUUCUUACUCCUGGUACCAUCAUUUGGCUAUACCUAGUGUCACUUCAGAUUUUUGCUCGUCAUUAUUGGACAAGCAUCCAAUUCAAUGCUCUUUAUUAACAGAAGCAUUAGCCUCAAAUAUGUAAGUAAAUCUUUGGUUUUUGUGGAGAAUAUUUUAGCAAUUUUAAUUUAUCCAUUAUGCUAUGAGUUCUUAAGCAUGGCAAAUAAUUGAAAGUUUGAUUGUAUUGGAAGGGUACUCAAAUCUGCUGUAGUCAAGUAUUCAGUUGCACUACCACGCUUUGAGGUAAAAUUGCUGAUGAGGCCAAUGUCAUUGCAGGGUGCAGUUAUAUGUUCCUUUUACAUGAAGACAGGCACAUGCAAGUUUGGCGCUGCAUGCAAGUUUGAUCACCCUCCUCCAGGGGAGGCUAUAGCCAUGGCAACCAUUCAAGGAACUGCUGAGGGAGAGGAAACGAAAGAUGCACCAGAGGUUCAGCAAUAGAAGCCCAUGGCACGGCGCCCUGCCUGGCAAUCUGUCAUUUAGGGACUGCAUUUUGAAUUCUGUAGACGUUGCUGCUCCCAGUCAUCUGAUGAACUCUGAACAACUGUACUGGUUAUUUUGGUAAUGCUAAUGUGGUUGUGCGACGUAGUUUCAGCUAAUCUAUUAAAAAAGGAUGAAGACUGCCUUUCCGGCUAAUGGAAAGGUCCGGUCUGUGGCGUGUGUUGCAUGACCAGUCUUAACAAAUCUGACAUGGUUGUGUUUGAGAUAGUAAUUCUUCAUGCGUUCAGUUUCACCGUAAGUGUUCAAAUGCUCGUCAAUAAAUGUCUCUAUUUUCUUCUAUGUACGUCAUCUCAUGUAACCGGAGAAGCAUUUCACGGUGGGUUUGCCAAUUACAAUCUUUGCAAUUUUUGUGCUAGGUGGGCAAAUUGAAACCAAAGCUCGAUUUAACACUUCAGCAUAUGUUGGUAAAAUCAAUACUGCAACAGACUUUCUAAUUGAUGAUCAAAGUUUCCUCUCAAAAUGACGAGUUCUUUGACUUUCAUUAAAAGCAAUAUGUGGAGAGAACUGAGUCAUACUUUCAUUAAAAGCAAUAUGUGGAGAGAACUGAGCUAACUCAGUGAAAUGAUGAUCUUAUAAAACUAAUAAUUAUAUUAUUAUUAUAAAAAAAUUUAAUAUUUAAAUUAUAGAUAAUUAUAUUUUUUUAUGUCAUUCAAAUUUUUUUUUUAUUUGAGCUAUAAGCGCAUAACUAAAUUCGCUUUCUAUAAAGAUUAAUAUAGAUAAGAUUCAUAAUCCUUUUUACCGAUAGAACGGAAACUAAAAAUAAGAUCUAACAUAAAUAAGCGAAGAGAAAGCUCUUCACUUUUUUUCCAAUAAGGGAAGAAUAAAGGAGAUGAGAUGCAUUUAUUGAAUCCGAUAUAAGUUUUUAGCUCCUCUCUAUUUAUAAACAGGUCGAACAUAAAUAAUUAAUAUAAUUUCUCGUAUUAAGAGCAUCUCUUAUUACUAAAUAACCGUAAUCCAAUUCAACUUUCCUUCUAUUGCUCGAGAUCUUACGUUUAGGAGCGGUUGCCGCAGGGAUCAUCGAGUCCCGGUCUCUCGACCGGCUCCGCCACAUCGUCGCCAAUGCUGUCUUCCGCGGCGAGCCCGGCGUCGUCGCCAACGUCCGGGCCAUCGCCGACCGUGACCACAGCCAGCGAAAGUUCUUUUCUGUCCGUCGCCUUGGGACGGAGACCACCACCGAUUCCGUCCGCUCCCUCUUUUCUGCCUAUGGCGAGUUCGAGGAGGCUGCCGUCAUCGUCGACAGGGCUACUGGGAAGAGCAAGGGCUAUGGGUUCAUCACCUUCCGCCACGUCGAUGGUGCCCUUCGUUCUCUGAAGGAGCCCUCCAAGAAGACUGACGGACGAAUGACCGUCACCCAGCUUGCCGCCGCUGGAAAUGCCGACAGCCGUGAACGUUCCUGCCGACAGCCGUCGGAUCGCCUUCUCGCCCAUUUCUCCUCUUAUGAAGGGAUCGAGGAGGGGCCGCUAGGGUUUGAUAAGCAGACGGGGAAGUUCCGGGGGUUCCCUCUCUUUGCCUACAAUACUGCAGAGGGGGCAAGGAACUCACUCGUUGACCCUACCAAGAACGUCGAUGGCCACCACUUGGUCUGUAGUGUUUCAAUCGAGGGAAAGAAAGGGAAGCCAGGCGCCUCAGCACCAUGUGCUGUCCCUAUGGGCAGUGUCUAGGGCAUGCCAAUGGGCGGUGGUGCUGAUAUGGGUUCUAAUGGGCUCAGACUCGGUGCUCAGUCUUCGCUGCUGAGUUCUCUCUCGAGCCAGUAUGGUGGCCCAGCCAGUAUGGUGGUCUCAGCUCACAUGGUGGUUUCUCUGGUGGUGCGCUGCCUGGUGCCAUUGGACUGAGACACCAUCACAGUCUGGGCUCUUCCUUGCCAUCGUCAAUGGGUCCUGGCAAUCCAGGUCUGUUGGUAGUCAGGUUCCUUCGUCGCUUGGUGGUGCUGCAGCUGGAGGAUGUGGUGGAGGCUUGGGUGGUCCCGUUGAACCUUCUUCACAGUUUGGUGGCCCUGGCGUUGGUGGGUAUGAAAGUUUUGGCACGGGCUCAUCACUGUAUUGCGUGCCUCCGAUGCCUUCAGGUGGUUAUCCCGUGAGUCCUGGACAGAGGAUUUCUGGUAUGUUGGGUCCAGCCCAUAUGUGGGCUUGGACAAUUGGGCCUAUUGAGUUCAAAUCAACAAGAAAUUAAAAAGAGGUGAGAGAAGGUGAGGAAAAAAUAAAUCAGAUUACAGCAUGCAGCGUGCCGUGCUGAGGAAAAAGGAGAGAGAAAUAGAGAGAUUAGGUUUCUGAGUUUUCUGCUUGACGAUCGGUGGCCAAACGUUGUCAGUUUUGAUCCAAAUUUUAUGUGAAGAAUCCUUGCAGCAAACUCUACAAUUCUAACGGUGUUGAUAUGCAGUUUACUCUCUCUAAGGUACUUUCCUGCGAUAUCCACUUUGUAAGACCUAGAAUUCUCUUUUGAGGAGAUCCAUCCUUUAUGACGAAGAUAUGCUAUUCUUGAGCCAAAAUCUAUUUCUGAUCCUCUAGUUAUUCUAGAGAAGACCUACUGUAAAUCUGUUAUUAUUAUUAGUGAUUGAUUAUUUGUUCUAUUGUUUAUAUUGUGCUGAUAUUUUUAUUUGGACAUCAAGUUGGUAUUUUGAUGAGAAACCUAUUUUAAUACACAAAGAGGGAAAGAAUUAUUUCGCUUUAACAUGUUUUUCCCAACAAGGUUUAUAUCCAAAUGUGCCACCUUAUUAUUAAGGUAAUAUAUUUACAUAAUAACAUUCAUUUCUCAGCCUUUUAUAUGGCAAGUUCUUAAUGUUUACUUUGUCAGCUUUAAUGGUCUUUAUUUGGAGUCACUUCCUCCUAUAUUUAUGAUUAAGCCCUGUAAUUUGGCUGGAGUCUUCUUUGUUAAUUUAUGAUCUUUUCUAAAUCCAAAGUGGCAAAAUAAGAACGGAAACUGUAGUAAGAUUUGUGACAUUUUUAAUAUCUUGCAUGGUUUGCAGUAUCGGUCCGACAGACUUCCGGUAUGCGGACCGUCUGUUAUCGGUCCGGUACUGUAGCAGUACUGUAGCAUUGCUCGGCACGGCUGAAUAUACCGCUCGGUACACCUGGGUGUACCGAGCGGUAUACCGUACCGUACCGGUACCGAGCCCAGGUCGAAACUCCGGUACGGUAUGGUAUUGCGAACCUUGAUAUCUUGUGCCAAAUUGUUACUUUGCUUGUAGGCUGCUUGGGUCUUUCAACUACGUAAGAUUUCAGAUUAUGUUUAGUGACCUCUUAGAGUUGGUCAAGACACACUCAAUCUAAGACGUGGUUAAUCCUCAAAUUGGCAAAGGGAAAUAGAUUAAUUCUACCAAAGAAUCUGGCUGUAGAAUGUUUAGAGUUUAUAUGAUACCAGAAAGUGGACUUUGACUAUUAAUUCUACCAAAUUAUCUUGUUAGUGGACUAUAUUGUCUUGCCAUUCGACGUUUGCCAAAGACUUCAAGUAGGAAGAUAGUUUCUUCCAGGGACUUAAAGUAGGAGGAUAGUGUCUGCCAGAGAAUUAAAACAGGAAGAUAGUCUCUGACAGUAACUUAAAGUCGGAAGAUAGUGACAUUUGAAUAUAUCAAUUUUAAAAAAAUUAAAAAUUAUAUUUGGAUGAACCUAAUGAUAUUCUACUAUUGAUUUUAAUGGAAGUACUUUAGAUUGUGGUGAUACAGUUUUCUCUACAUAAAUUAUGGGGCAUGCAGGUACUGUUAAGGCGUUAUGUACUUUUUACGUGCGUUUUGGAUAAGAAUGAAAUGAAUGCAACGUCAAAUAUGACAUUUGAGCUUAUGUUUCUUAUUUGUUCUUUCGAUAUGCUCCGAAAUAUUUCACAUGCCAUUGAUAUACUCCAAAAUAUUUUAUACGUCAUUGAUAUACUCUGAAAUAUUUCAUACACCAUUGAUAUGCUUUGAAAUAUUUCAUAUGUCAUUGAUAUGCUUCGAAAUAUUUCAUACGUCAUUGAUAUACUUCGAAAUAUUUCAUACGUCAUUGAUAUGCUCCAAAUACUCUUUACUCCAUUGUUAUGAAUAAUGUAUGUUUUAAAUGAAAUGACAUUUAUGAUUCUGUAUCUAAUGAGAUAAUAUCUAUGAAUUCUUAUAUCCCUGCCUUGUAUUUUGAUACCAAGUUUGUUUAAAAUUAUCAUAUCUUGUCAUGGAUAUAUUAGUCGCUUACUGAGCUUUGUAUACUCACUUUGUUGCUAUAUAAAUUUUUCAGGAUAGCUUGUCGCUUGUUAAAAUGUUAAAAUUGGACUGAGGCAAUUGAACACUAUUCAGAUUGUUUAUCAUUGUUUUUGUAACGGUUAAUUGCUAAUUUUUAUUAUAACAUACAUUUGUUUACUGAUUUUUGUGUGUUAAGUGUUUGCAUUCUCUUUUUUUUGCCAGAUAAUUAAGUCAUUGAUUUUGUUAAUGCUUGUGUAACUGCAAAAGAUAUUUUCAUUUGCUGAUUGCUUAUUUGGUUUGGAUUAAGUCUUAGGUUAUGUGUUCCUGAGCAAUUCAAGUAUCUAGCUAGAUUCUUUAUCAAUGUGGCAUAUCGGAGGAUGUAGGAUUUCUUCUAACAAAUUUGACUAGCAUACCCUUUAUCAUGUAUAGGGAUGCCAAGUGUCUCAAUGGCAGUCAUUUUUGCUGGGGAAAAUUUUGUAUUAGACUAUGUCGGUCCCUACUAUCUUGGCUCGUCUUAUUGUCCAUGCAUCAUUUGAUUGAUAAAAUAAAAUUGGGUAAUCUUUGGUUGCAUUGUGGUACUGUCGAAUGAAAUAUUUAUGUUGGAAAUUAAUGGUUUAUCUGUCUGGUAUUAUCUAUCUUAAUCUAUUUUUAUGGCCAAUGUGCUUGAUUUUUUGUUUGUGCUUUGUGUUCACUACCUGCAUUCUUUAUUUGUUAUGUAUUCCAUGAUUCUUGGUGCAUAUGGUUUUCUUCCUCGCUGUGCAUUAACUUUUGUGUAGUUGUUGAGGAGAUGCUUGCUUCUCGAAUCUCCAAUGAAGCUUGCUUAUUUUUAUAGAGUUCAAAACUAUUGUGGAAUACAAAAUAAUGCAAUGAGUUGCACGUGGAGUCGAAAAUAAUGUUUUCCUUUUUUUCGAUCAAUUGGAAACCGACCUUCCUGAAAUUGGCUUCAUUGUCGGAGAUUUUUUGGACAAUAUACCGCGGUUCGAUCUCCUCUAAUAUGGUAUCCAUUAGGUUUUCAAUAUAGUUUGAUUCUUGAAUCUUAUCGGAAGCAUUACUAAAAACCACCUGUUUGUUGUAAUAAACAAGAAAAUUGAUGAUACUCAUUCUUAUUGGCCCUAUCCAAUUGUCAUACAUCACUGUCACCCCAUAUUCAUCCUAUUGUCUUUUGAAGAAUUUGAUCUAAUCCUUCAGUUCUGCCACCUCCUUAUCUAAAUAUACGUCGUGCAUCUCCUUCGGCAUUAGAGGUUGAAUCCCUUUGAAUAGAGGAGAUCAUGCUAUGAUAAUAUGAAUCUUGGGCUGUGUUUGUUGGAAUCCUGUGGAAGUUGAACUAUUUUGCAAUUGUCUUUCCAAUAUCCUAUUUCUUUUCUUUUGUAUAUGCAUCAUCGAUCCGUGUCUACUUCGCUAUUUGUGGAGGAUAGGUUUGCGGAUCAAUAUCAAUAAUAUCUGGUGCUAAACUCUUACCAAGCUCUCUUAUAAUGAUGAUGGUUCUCAUCUUCUUUCGAGCAUGAUUUUAAUCGUUAUAAUGUGCCUAUUCCUUUGGUGUCAUGUUCUUACCAAAAUUGAAUCAAAUAAUAAGGUGCAAUUAUACGUAAUGAACCUUGCUUAUUACAGAAUGUUAAGGGACAGGUCAGAAGUUAGACAAGAAAGAGAAUUAAUUAGAGCACUAGACUUUUCAAUGAUAAAAUUUGAGAAACCACCAUAGAUACUUUCUAGUAAAGGAGUAACCAAAAUAUUCAACAAAGAAAGGAUACUUGAACCUGAUUCUCAAAUUGCAGUAAGUGAAAUAUCAAUGCUCUAAGUCUCUUUGUCCCUGAAUGAAAAAAAAAAAAAAAAAAGCAACAUGCCUUGAUCAUAACAUGAAUGAAAGGUAAGCCUCAACAUAUGACUGAAGCAUCACAAAUGGAAGUCUAUAAGGAAAUUGUUUGAGGUGAAAUAUCUUUGAGCAUGAAGCAAUUUGCGAACAACUUAAUCUAUAAUCAUAGUGACAUUAGGCAAAAUCUCAUUGUAUGAAGUUGAAAAUAUUGACAGUUAUGACUAAUAGUAGACAUUUGCUGUAAUAUUGACAAUAAUGGAAAGACCCUUACCGUAAAUUUGUGAAGGAAAAGGUGAAAAAGAGGAAAAAAUAUGAUGGAACUUAAAAAUCGUGUCCUUCUUAAAAUCCAUAUGCAGGCUCAACAAAAAAAAUAACAGAUGACUUCUAAAUUUUUUGCAAAAUCAGUUCACUUAGUAUAUCACUAAAAUGCAUUGAAGUAAUUCUUGGAAUAACUGAACUCUUCAAAACAAUUUGAAAUAUUUCAUUAAGAAGUUCAGAAAGCACAGAAAAAGAGGGAGGGGGACCAAUUCAUUAUGCGUGUUUAAACUGAGCUUCUAGUUCCAAUGAUACAUUGUCCAAAGAUGUAACAUUCAAUCUUGCGAGUUCUUCCUGUUUUCUUUCAUUUUGUUAGUUCAUUUAUGACAAACAAUGUCUAGCAUAUUAGCUUGGAGAUUUUAUAUAAAAUCAUACACUUUUGAGGAAAAAAGUAAACUGGUUGUUCAUUCAUGUACAUAUUCUCUCAAAUUUAUAUUGAAAGUGUGAGGCUUCAAGUCAAACACUAACAAGCACCUAGUAGAAGGAUCUUUUAUGGAUGACUCCAUGUCAGGUAGAAAUAUUCAGACCAUUUGAAACAUAGGGGGGAACAACAAAAUCUGACCAGUAUGAAUAAUUAUUAUUCUGGAUAAUAAGGGUGAACUAACCAUAUAUGCGCAUCAAUAAAAAAAAUGCAUAAUUUCAUAACAUAAAACUGAUUUCUAGUUUUAUAAUUCAAACACCAACAAUCAUUAAUCAAGAGAAAAAGAAGGUUGUAUAUGCACCUUCCCCUUGUUGCAAAGGGUGCACGCACUUUUGGCCAUGAGCUUCACUGCAGCUUCUUAUUUAUCUCAAUCAAGCUCUGGAACUUUCUGAGGAUCAUCAAUCUCCACCGUAUUAGCCUUGUCCAUAAGGUCAAUGAUAAUUUACAAGAUAUAUAUGACGGUGGCAAGGGGCAUAGAGGUAGAGGUGCUGGAAGGGAUGAUAACUUUGGUGAUGGAAACUUCAAAUGCUUACCCAAUAUUCAAUUUGUUUCUCCAUUACAACCAACAAGAUCAUGAAUAGAUUAUUAUAAAAAAUGAUGACUUAAAUAAUUCAAUCGGAAUUAUCAUGUCAAAUUCAAACUUGGUACCACGUGAUAUUACUGGAAUCGCAAUAAAUAAUCACAACCGCUGCUGCUACCUUAAUCUCAGUAAACAAAUAGGGAAGUUGAAAACAAGAAAUACCAACUCAAAGGUCGGUGUUAUACUUACACAAGACAAAUUUCAGAUAUAGUGCUUGGAUGCUGAAACUUGUGGUAAAUGACCACAACAGUAGAAUUGAAAAAAUACUGAAAUAGUAGCCAUGUCAUUAAUUGGUGAACAUUUAUAUGAAACAUAGCAAGCUUGUCUAUCAAGCUCAUGAACAUUGCUACCACUCUGCUACAACUAUAGCUGAUUCAGCAAGAUAAAUCCCAUAGAUUGAAAUAAUUACAAAUUGGAAUCUUUAAUGAAGAUCCUAUUAAUCGGAAGGACCCAAACUACUCCACUAUCACUAUAAUGAAGCAUUUGUGAAUUGUUG
RNAcentral lists this long non-coding RNA (21087 nucleotides) under Musa acuminata (dwarf banana). RNAcentral describes it as "long non-coding RNA (MACU_LNC000541)". Lineage: Eukaryota; Viridiplantae; Streptophyta; Magnoliopsida; Zingiberales; Musaceae. The record is from RNAcentral.